GGUGUAGUUUCGGAAAAAAUGAUUUUGAACAUCAUUCUAAAGAAGUUCGACUCUUCUAUACACCU
This 65-nucleotide transfer RNA is filed under the name Phascolosoma esculenta. RNAcentral's name for it is "tRNA-Ser". Lineage: Eukaryota; Metazoa; Annelida; Sipuncula; Phascolosomatiformes; Phascolosomatidae. The record is from RNAcentral.